ACUGAAAGUGCUUUACAACCCUCAGGCCUUUUUCACACACGCGGNAUUGCUGGAUCAGGCUUGCGCCCAUUGUCCAAUAUUCCCCACUGGUGCCUUCCGUACGAGUCUGGGCCGUGUCUCAAUCCCAGGGGGGCCUGGUUAUCCUCUCAGACCAGCUUAAGNUUGUCGNCUUGGUGGGGCCUUACCCUNCCAACAAGGUAAUGCUACCCAGGCUCAUNUNAUAGCGAGAGCUUUCAAGAANAGGCCCCCUUUUGCCCGUACGGUGUGUGCGGUAUUAGCUCGAGUUGGCUUGUGUUAUCCCCCACUACUAGGUAGAUCCCUACGNGUUACACACCCGCCCGCACUCNACGCCUGGAAGCAAGUUUACUUCGUUUNCGUUCGACUUGCAUGUGCUAACCAUACCGCAGCGUUCACUCUGAGCCAGGAU
Molecule: ribosomal RNA, 427 nt
Filed under: uncultured bacterium
Lineage: Bacteria
Description: partial 16S ribosomal RNA
Source: RNAcentral